Molecule: transfer RNA, 71 nt
Filed under: Sphaerodactylus townsendi
Lineage: Eukaryota; Metazoa; Chordata; Lepidosauria; Squamata; Sphaerodactylidae
Description: tRNA-Thr
Rfam family: tRNA
About the family: Transfer RNA (tRNA) molecules are approximately 80 nucleotides in length. Their secondary structure includes four short double-helical elements and three loops (D, anti-codon, and T loops). Further hydrogen bonds mediate the characteristic L-shaped molecular structure. tRNAs have two regions of fundamental functional importance: the anti-codon, which is responsible for specific mRNA codon recognition, and the 3' end, to which the tRNAs corresponding amino acid is attached (by aminoacyl-tRNA synthetases). tRNAs cope with the degeneracy of the genetic code in two manners: having more than one tRNA (with a specific anti-codon) for a particular amino acid; and 'wobble' base-pairing, i.e. permitting non-standard base-pairing at the 3rd anti-codon position.
Source: RNAcentral
GGAGCCGUAGUUCUGUGGUACAACAUCUGCCUGGUAUGUAGAGGUUCCCAGGUUCGAUCCCGGCCUCUCCA